This 968-nucleotide ribosomal RNA is filed under the name uncultured bacterium. RNAcentral's name for it is "bacterial SSU rRNA". It matches the Rfam family "Bacterial small subunit ribosomal RNA", at positions 28 to 994 of the family's 1533-position model. The record is from RNAcentral.
AUUGAACGCUGGCGGCAUGCCUUACACAUGCAAGUCGAACGGCAGCACGGGGCAACCUGGUGGCGAGUGGCGAACGGGUGAGUAAUAUAUCGGAACGUACCCAGAAGUGGGGGAUAACGCAGCGAAAGUUGCGCUAAUACCGCAUACGAUCUACGGAUGAAAGUGGGGGACCUGCAGGCCUCAUGCUUUUGGAGCGGCCGAUAUCUGAUUAGCUAGUUGGUGAGGUAAAGGCUCACCAAGGCAUCGAUCAGUAGCUGGUCUGAGAGGACGACCAGCCACACUGGAACUGAGACACGGUCCAGACUCCUACGGGAGGCAGCAGUGGGGAAUUUUAGACAAUGGGGGCAACCCUGAUCCAGCAAUGCCGCGUGAGUGAAGAAGGCCUUCGGGUUGUAAAGCUCUUUUGUCAGGGAAGAAACGGUGUUUUCUAAUAAAGAGCACUAAUGACGGUACCUGAAGAAUAAGCACCGGCUAACUACGUGCCAGCAGCCGCAGUAAUACGUAGGGUGCAAGCGUUAAUCGGAAUUACUGGGCGUAAAGCGUGCGCAGGCGGUUAUGUAAGUCAGCUGUGAAAUCCCCGGGCUUAACCUGGGAAUGGCAGUUGAGACUGCAUGGCUAGAGUGUGUCAGAGGGGGGUAGAAUUCCACGUGUAGCAGUGAAAUGCGUAGAGAUGUGGAGGAAUACCGAUGGCGAAGGCAGCCCCCUGGGAUAACACUGACGCUCAUGCACGAAAGCGUGGGGAGCAAACAGGAUUAGAUACCCUGGUAGUCCACGCCCUAAACGAUGUCUACUAGUUGUCGGGUCUUAAUUGACUUGNAAANGCAGCUAACGCGUGAAGUAGACCGCCUGGGGAGUACGGUCGCAAGAUUAAAACUCAAAGGAAUUGACGGGGACCCGCACAAGCGGUGGAUGAUGUGGAUUAAUUCGAUGCAACGCGAAAAACCUUACCUACCCUUGACAUGGUCAGA